This 253-nucleotide ribosomal RNA is filed under the name uncultured bacterium. RNAcentral describes it as "partial 16S ribosomal RNA". It matches the Rfam family "Bacterial small subunit ribosomal RNA", at positions 524 to 776 of the family's 1533-position model. The record is from RNAcentral.
UACGAACUGUGCGAACGUUAUUCGGAAUCACUGGGCUUAAAGGGUGCGUAGGCGGCGACUCAAGUCAGGUGUGAAAUCCCCCGGCUCAACCGGGGAACUGCGCUUGAAACUAGGUUGCUUGAGUGAGGUAGGGGUGUAUGGAACUUCCGGUGGAGCGGUGAAAUGUGUAGAUAUCGGAAGGAACGCCGGCGGCGAAAGCGGUACACUGGGCCUUGUCUGACGCUGAGGCACGAAAGCUAGGGGAGUGAACGGG